GGUAGCCGGCCUGAGAGGGCGACCGGCCACACUGGGACUGAGACACGGCCCAGACUCCUACGGGAGGCAGCAGUGGGGAAUAUUGGGCAAUGGANGNAACUCUGACCCAGCGACGCCGCGUGCGGGAUGAAGGCCUUCGGGUUGUAAACCGCUUUCAGCANGGAAGAAGCGAAAGUGACGGUACYUGCAGAAGAAGCACCGGCUAACUAUGUGCCAGCAGCCGCGGUAAUACAUAGGGUGCAAGCGUUGUCCGGAAUUAUUGGGCGUAAAGAGCUCGUAGGUGGUUCGUYACGUCGGAUGUGAAAAUCUGGGGCUYAACCCCAGACCUGCAUYCGAUACGGGCGAGCUWGAGUKUGGUAGGG
Molecule: ribosomal RNA, 362 nt
Filed under: uncultured bacterium
Lineage: Bacteria
Description: partial 16S ribosomal RNA
Rfam family: Bacterial small subunit ribosomal RNA
Source: RNAcentral